GCUUUGCUGGUAUAGUGGUUAGCAUAGCUGCCUUCAAAUCAGUUCACCUGGGAUUGAUUCCAGGCCAACGCC
Molecule: transfer RNA, 72 nt
Filed under: Anguilla anguilla (European eel)
Lineage: Eukaryota; Metazoa; Chordata; Actinopteri; Anguilliformes; Anguillidae
Description: tRNA-Ser
Source: RNAcentral